AGGAAUAUUGGUCAAUGGGCGAGAGCCUGAACCAGCCAAGUCGCGUGAGGGAAGACGGCCCUACGGGUUGUAAACCUCUUUUGUCAGGGAGCAAGAACAGGCACGUGUGCCUGACUGAGAGUACCUGAAGAAAAAGCAUCGGCUAACUCCGUGCCAGCAGCCGCGGUGAUACGGAGGAUGCGAGCGUUAUCCGGAUUUAUUGGGUUUAAAGGGUGCGUAGGCGGACUGCCAAGUCAGCGGUAAAAUAGCGGGGCUCAACCCCGUCGAGCCGUUGAAACUGGUGGUCUUGAGUGGGCGAGAAGUACGCGGAAUGUGUGGUGUAGCGGUGAAAUGCAUAGAUAUCACGCAGAACUCCGAUUGCGAAGGCAGCGUACCGGCGCCCGACUGACGCUGAAGCACGAAAGCGUGGGUAUCGAACAGGAUUAGAUACCCUGGUAGUCCACGCAGUAAACGAUGAAUGCUAGCUGUCCGGGACGAAUGAGUCCUGGGUGGCACAGCGAAAGCGUUAAGCAUUCCACCUGGGGAGUACGCCGGCAACGGUGAAACUCAAAGGAAUUGACGGGGGCCCGCACAAGCGGAGGAACAUGUGGUUUAAUUCGAUGAUACGCGAGGAACCUUACCCGGGCUCAAACGCACUACGAAUGAUGCUGAAAGGUGUCAGCCAGCAAUGGCGGAGUGCGAGGUGCUGCAUGGUUGUCGUCAGCUCGUGCCGUGAGGUGUCGGCUUAAGUGCCAUAACGAGCGCAACCCCUAUUGACAGUUGCCAACUGGUCAAGCCGAGGACUCUGUCGAGACUGCCGGCGCAAGCUGUGAGGAAGGCGGGGAUGACGUCAAAUCAGCACGGCCCUUACGUCCGGGGCGACACACGUGUUACAAUGGCAGGUACAGCGGGAAGCCACCUGGCGACAGGGAGCGGAACCCGAAAACCUGUCUCAGUUCGGAUUGGAGUCUGCAACCCGACUCCAUGAAGCUGGAUUCGCUAGUAAUCGCGCAUCAGCCAUGGCGCGGUGAAUACGUUCCCG
This 1021-nucleotide ribosomal RNA is filed under the name uncultured bacterium. RNAcentral's name for it is "bacterial SSU rRNA". It matches the Rfam family "Bacterial small subunit ribosomal RNA", at positions 357 to 1376 of the family's 1533-position model. The record is from RNAcentral.